CCCCUCGAUUUGGAGGAACGUCACAUACUAGACUCCAUUGCUUGGCCUGAAAAACCACUUUUGCCAUCUUAUUUUCUUGGAGCAGACCACUGAUCCAGCUCACAGCACCUUCACCAUUCUCCCAGGGAGGAAAGUCCUGCAAUGGAGUUGCUGAUCGGAGUCCUGCUUGGGGCUCCAGUCGGAGACUCCAUAGUCCUACUGGAAGACCUCAAUGCACACGUGGACGACGAUGAAGAUAACUGGAGAGGAGAGCGGGUGUAUGCUCAUCUGGUCUAAAUGUAUUUUGUGGACCUGAAGAAGGCGCAUGACCGGGCCUCCCGCAAUACUGAGGGAGUAUGGGGUGAGGGGGUUCCUUCUUAGCGCCAUCCAAUCUGUGUUUGUGUUCUCUGCAGUAAGUCGUAGUUGUUUCCGGUGGGGGAUGGCCUUCGCCAGGGCGGCGCCUCGUCACCAAUUCUGUUUGUGGCAUUCAUUAUCAGGAUAUUGAGACUUAUUGCGGGCGAGGAGCAUUUACAGUUCAGGGGGGUGCGGAUCUCAUCGUUGCUUUUUGCAGAUGAUGUGGUUCUGAUGGCAUCUUUGGUCUGUGACCUUCAGAUCUGAAGCGGUUCGCAGCAGAGUGUGAAAUGGUCGGGAUCAGGAUCAUCACCUUUAAAUCUGAGGCCAUGGUUCUCUGCAGGAAACCGUAAUGGAUUGCCUACUGUGGCCAACCAAACAGCUGAAGUGUAACUACACUGACCUCCGUACAGGCGAGCCUUGGUUCUGUUACAAGCCAACAAACCUGAGCUGUGAUACCAGGAUCAACCACUUUAGGGUAGCAUUCAAACAAAACCUCAUAAUCGAAGGAGGAGAAGCUCUUUCAGAGGUGAGUGAACAGAGACACAUGAGAGGCUUAGAGCUUUGUGACCUGAGGGAGUUACAUUGACCCUAUAGUUGUUUAAGAUUUAAACAUAAUACAAAUACUACUUCGGUCUUCCUUUCAACAUUUUGAAGUUUUUCUAUCAUGCUCUUGGUCGCGUUUGUUCACGUGUAAGUUUUAUCUUGAGUAAGUGUACACCUUUGUAUCUUUCCACAGCAAAUCUCGCAUUCUGAUGCAGCAAACUGCAUAAUAAAUUUGGUGCUCAUUCAUGACUGCAUACUCAAGGACCUUAAAUUGUCCCUGUAGCUCCUAUUGAAAGUACUUUUUGAAUCCGACUUUAAACUGCUAGCACUCGCUUCUCUUGGCCACUCCUUAGCAGCUAUUUGUUGCUCUGAACAGUGUGUUUGUGAGGUCUCCAAAGUGAGAACCUGGUCAGGAGACAAGGGUACGAAAGAGGAAAGUAAAGAGGAUGAAGAUGAAUUGGAUGGAGU
Long non-coding RNA from Gasterosteus aculeatus aculeatus (three-spined stickleback), 1344 nucleotides. The record is from Ensembl. Lineage: Eukaryota; Metazoa; Chordata; Actinopteri; Perciformes; Gasterosteidae.